CUGCAGCUCAAGUGGUGACCACUAUUAUUGGGCCUAAAACGUUCGUAGCCGGUUUGGUAAAUGCCUGGGUAAAUCGUGUAGCUUAACUAUACGAAUUCCGGGUAGACUGUCAAACUUGAGACCGGGAGAAGCUAGAGGUACUCCUGGGGUAGAGGUGAAAUUCUGUAAUCCUAGGGGGACCACCAGUGGCGAAGGCGUCUAGCUAGAACGGGUCUGACGGUGAGGAACGAAGCCCUGGGGCGCAAACCGGAUUAGAUACCCGAGUAGUCC
This 270-nucleotide ribosomal RNA is filed under the name uncultured archaeon. RNAcentral's name for it is "partial 16S ribosomal RNA". It matches the Rfam family "Archaeal small subunit ribosomal RNA", at positions 477 to 747 of the family's 1478-position model. The record is from RNAcentral.